UACAGAGGGUGCAAGCGUUGCUCGGAAUUAUUGGGCGUAAAGGGUAGGUAGGUGGUCUCAUUUGUCUGGGGUGAAAGCCUUGAGCUUAACUCAAGAAGUGCCCCGGAAACGGUGAGACUGGAGUCCUGGAGAGGGUCGUGGAAUUCCCGGUGUAGCGGUGAAAUGCGUAGAGAUCGUGAGGAAGACCCGUGGCGAAGGCGGAUCUCUGGACGGCUAAAACUGACGCUGAGGCGCGAAGGCCAGGGGAGCAAACGGG
Molecule: ribosomal RNA, 256 nt
Filed under: uncultured bacterium
Lineage: Bacteria
Description: partial 16S ribosomal RNA
Rfam family: Bacterial small subunit ribosomal RNA
Source: RNAcentral